AACGAACGCUGGCGGCAUGCCUAACACAUGCAAGUCGAACGAGACCUUCGGGUCUAGUGGCGCACGGGUGCGUAACGCGUGGGAACCUGCCCUUAGGUUCGGAAUAACUCCCCGAAAGGGGUGCUAAUACCGGAUAAUGUCUUCGGACCAAAGAUUUAUCGCCUUUGGAUGGGCCCGCGUUGGAUUAGCUAGUUGGUAGGGUAAAAGCCUACCAAGGCGACGAUCCAUAGCUGGUCUGAGAGGAUGAUCAGCCACACUGGGACUGAGACACGGCCCAGACUCCUACAGGAGGCAGCAGUGGGGAAUAUUGGACAAUGGGCGAAAGCCUGAUCCAGCAAUGCCGCGUGAGUGAUGAAGGCCUUAGGGUUGUAAAGCUCUUUUACCCGGGAUGAUAAUGACAGUACCGGGAAAAUAAGCUCCGGCUAACUCCGUG
This 433-nucleotide ribosomal RNA is filed under the name uncultured bacterium. RNAcentral's name for it is "partial 16S ribosomal RNA". It matches the Rfam family "Bacterial small subunit ribosomal RNA", at positions 29 to 507 of the family's 1533-position model. The record is from RNAcentral.